GGAGAGGUGGCGGAAUUGGUAGACGCGCUACUUUGAGGGGGUAGUGCCAGUAUGGCGUGGGAGUUCGAGUCUCCUCCUCUUCA
RNAcentral lists this transfer RNA (83 nucleotides) under Bacteroidaceae bacterium. RNAcentral describes it as "tRNA-Leu". It matches the Rfam family "tRNA". Rfam says of the family: Transfer RNA (tRNA) molecules are approximately 80 nucleotides in length. Their secondary structure includes four short double-helical elements and three loops (D, anti-codon, and T loops). Further hydrogen bonds mediate the characteristic L-shaped molecular structure. tRNAs have two regions of fundamental functional importance: the anti-codon, which is responsible for specific mRNA codon recognition, and the 3' end, to which the tRNAs corresponding amino acid is attached (by aminoacyl-tRNA synthetases). tRNAs cope with the degeneracy of the genetic code in two manners: having more than one tRNA (with a specific anti-codon) for a particular amino acid; and 'wobble' base-pairing, i.e. permitting non-standard base-pairing at the 3rd anti-codon position. The record is from RNAcentral. Lineage: Bacteria; Pseudomonadati; Bacteroidota; Bacteroidia; Bacteroidales; Bacteroidaceae.